This 487-nucleotide long non-coding RNA is filed under the name Ananas comosus (pineapple). RNAcentral describes it as "long non-coding RNA (ACOM_LNC032584)". The record is from RNAcentral. Lineage: Eukaryota; Viridiplantae; Streptophyta; Magnoliopsida; Poales; Bromeliaceae.
CCUGAGACCAUCAAUGAAAUGAAAUAUUGAAUCUGCUUCUUCUCCUAAUUAUCCUUCUUCUUCCCCUCUAAUCUCCACCUUCACUCUCUCAUCUCUUCUCUAUUUUCUUCUAAAACCCUACUCUCUUCCUCCCAAUCUCACUCCUUAUCUCUCUGUAUCUCUCUACCUCUACUCUUAUCUCUUCUUUCCUUACCUCUUCUCUUUCCCAAACUCACCGGGAUAUUACAUUGGCCGGUGAGAGAUUUGGAGAAUCGAGAUAAAUUGGGAGUAUAAAAAUGAGGUGCGGAGAGAGAAUUUGAGGAGAUGAGGGGGAAAAGAAAGAAGAGAAAAGAGGAGAUUAGUAAGGGUAGGGAUCAGACUGGGUAGAGAAGAUAAAGAGGGGAGGAGAGAGUAGAAGAAGAAAAAGAUAAUUAAUAGGGAAAGAAGAUAGUUGCUGCAUUAAACUUACACCCUGCUUCUUAUUGUCCUCCGCACACGGUGUUGAAAU